CUAGCAGUAAACUGUGCGCGCUUGGUUUGUGAUGGUUUGACCCAUUUCGAGCCGUAGCUAACGCGAUAAGCGCGCCGCCUGGGAAGUACGGUCGCAAGACUAAAACUCAAAGAAAUUGACGGGGACCCGCACAAGCGGUGGAGUAUGUGGCUUAAUUCGAUGCAACGCGAAGAACCUUACCUGGGCUUGACAUGCGGCGGACGGUGGUGGAAACAUCACUUUUGAAGAAAUUCAACCGUCGCGCAGGUGC
Molecule: ribosomal RNA, 250 nt
Filed under: uncultured bacterium
Lineage: Bacteria
Description: partial 16S ribosomal RNA
Rfam family: Bacterial small subunit ribosomal RNA
Source: RNAcentral